RNAcentral lists this ribosomal RNA (497 nucleotides) under uncultured bacterium. Its description in RNAcentral is "partial 16S ribosomal RNA". It matches the Rfam family "Bacterial small subunit ribosomal RNA", at positions 28 to 507 of the family's 1533-position model. The record is from RNAcentral.
GAUGAACGCUGGCGGCGUGCCUAAUACAUGCAAGUCGAGCGAACGGACGAGAAGCUUGCUUCUCUGAUGUUAGCGGCGGACGGGUGAGUAACACGUGGAUAACCUACCUAUAAGACUGGGAUAACUUCGGGAAACCGUAGCUAAUACCGGAUAAUAUUUUGAACCGCAUGGUUCAAAAGUGAAAGACGGUCUUGCUGUCACUUAUAGAUGGAUCCGCGCUGCAUUAGCUAGUUGGUAAGGUAACGGCUUACCAAGGCAACGAUGCAUGGCCGACCUGAGAGGGUGAUCGGCCACACUGGAACUGAGACACGGUCCAGACUCCUACGGGAGGCAGCAGUAGGGAAUCUUCCGCAAUGGGCGAAAGCCUGACGGAGCAACGCCGCGUGAGUGAUGAAGGUCUUCGGAUCGUAAAACUCUGUUAUUAGGGAAGAACAUAUGUGUAAGUGACUGUGCACAUCUUGACGGUACCUAAUCAGAAAGCCACGGCUAACUACGUG